Molecule: long non-coding RNA, 499 nt
Filed under: Homo sapiens (human)
Lineage: Eukaryota; Metazoa; Chordata; Mammalia; Primates; Hominidae
Description: non-protein coding lnc-TOMM20-2:10
Source: RNAcentral
CUCUUAAGCAGCAUGCGCUGAGAUUGCAGAAACCUGAAAGAUAGGGAAAGUGUGUAUCCCAUCUCCCCUUCCUGCCUGACUCUCAAGUAAGUUUUCUUUAAGUAUCUUUUUUCUUCAGCUUCAGGAAAAAGAGGACCUUAGAACUGAAGGAGCAAGAUUCCAACAUCACACUGUUUUUGUUAGCUGUGUGUGUGUGUUUCCUGUGUAUCCAAAAGACAGAGGAGAUGAAAAAGCAAAAGAAAAGAAACGAGGAAUCAGAUUGGAAAGAAGGUUUCUCCAGGACGUCACCUGUAUGAGGUACACAGUGUGAUGACACACUCUGUGCUUUUCCUACUUGUGUCCACGUGAGUGUCUGGAGCUGCCCUUCAAGGAGAGCAAUAGAUGAAUGAUUCUGCCUUCCCGCUGAGAGGGAUGUGGGUCCUGCGGAUGGUCGGGGUGAAGCUUCCUCUCCUUUCUGCUGACAGCACUUCCUCAUUAAAUGCAGAGAUCUGCAAAAAGG